This 459-nucleotide ribosomal RNA is filed under the name uncultured bacterium. RNAcentral's name for it is "partial 16S ribosomal RNA". It matches the Rfam family "Bacterial small subunit ribosomal RNA", at positions 338 to 795 of the family's 1533-position model. The record is from RNAcentral.
CCUACGGGUGGCAGCAGUGAGGAAUAUUGGUCAAUGGGCGGAAGCCUGAACCAGCCAAGUAGCGUGCGGGAUGACGGCCCUAUGGGUUGUAAACCGCUUUUGCCCGGGGAUAAAAAGCUCCACUUGUGGCGGUUUGAAAGUACCGUGAGAAUAAGCGUCGGCUAAUUCCGUGCCAGCAGCCGCGGUAAUACGGAGGGGCCGAGCGUUAUCCGGAUUUAUGGGGUUUAAAGGGAGCGUAGGCGGGGGUUUAAGUCAGCGGUAAAAUUGCGCGGCUCAACCGCGCCCCGUAGUUGAAACUGGAUGCGUGGAGUUCACAAGAGGCAGGCGGAAUUCGUGGUGUAGCGGUGAAAUGCAUAGAUAUCACGAAGAACUCCGAGUGCGAAGGCAGCACACCGGGGUGCGACUGACGCUGAGGCUCGAAAGUGUGGGUAUCAAACAGGAUUAGAUACCCUUGUAGUC